GGAAAUCUCACCAGGCCCGGACACUGGAAGGAUUGACAGAUUGAUAGCUUUUUCUUGAUUCGGUGGGUGGUGGUGCAUGGCCGUUCUUAGUUGGUGGAGCGAUCUGUCUGGUUAAUUCCGAUAACGAACGAGACCCCAACCUGCUAACUAGCCCUCGGGUCCUGCUUCUGUUGGGCCCGACGGAAUGAUUCGCUUCUUAGAGGGACUCGCGGCGCCUAGCCGCACGAAGGGGGGCGAUAA
Molecule: ribosomal RNA, 240 nt
Filed under: uncultured eukaryote
Lineage: Eukaryota
Description: partial 18S ribosomal RNA
Rfam family: Eukaryotic small subunit ribosomal RNA
Source: RNAcentral